CACACGAAGGCAGAAGGUUAAUCGAAUCCGUGUGCGCAAAAAAUGGUUUCACCUCUUGAUGAAACGGGCGGCGGCGGCGGUGGUUCGAUCGGGGAUCGGGCGUUUGCGGAUCGUUAUUAUCAUAAAGGGGAAAGCGAUACGCGGACAUCGUUUCGUCCCGAAGGCCGGUGGAAAGACGAUGAUACUCGCGACUGUUUGAUCGGCCUCUUCGGGCAGAGGAAAAGAAUUUCCCGUGGGUCCACGGUAGUGGAACAAAGUCCUCAAAGAAUGAAGAAUCGCCCGGCUAAAAACGUGGCAAGAGAAGUGGCGCCUUUGACCCUCAUUGUCUGCGCUCUUUGCUCGUCGCAUGCACGGCCUAAAGGACUCCGUGUUUAUCUUUUUCGCUUUCUUCUAUUCCCCCUCAGUCUCUCUCGCGACAAUACACGCAUACUUCACCUCUUCUCGCUUUCAAUCCCGUCCGACCAGAACGUACGCGUAACUAUAUACCGCGUCACGGAACCGGGGGGUUAAUACCGGCUUUGUAAUUCAAUUUACUUUAACAGUCGAUCCGUUCGAACGACUAAAAGAGAACUGUGAUCACCUGAUUAAAAUUUAAUUAUGCACGCGUUAGCGGCGUGUUAUUUUUAAGCACGACUGCACGGUCGUCAACACGUAAGGAAUGUGCAGCGUAGUUUUUAUUGGAAACACUGCGUCUGUCAAAGGACGGAUACAUUGUUGAAGGGAUUCGUCUCGUGGCCAGUGACCGAGGUGAUGGUGCGGUUUGACACAUUUAUCUAUCUAUCACAAAUACUCCGAGGAGAAGGAAACGAGACCUUCUGGUACGAAGACUGUGAAGAACAGCAGGGCAGUUACCCCAGACGUUCAGAGAAGAGGAAACGCAUAAAAUCGGGAGUUCAUCGACAAUCGUACUUGAUCAGACGACAACGAAAGAGCCAAUGUGAAACAGUUGAUGGAUGGAGAGAGUCGUUACGUAUCGGUGAGAGCAAUGGGUUGGUAAUAAGCCGACUCUUAAGGACGGCGAGGUGCCAAUUAAAACAGGCGAUUACUCCGAACCGAUCGAGCUACACGCGUCCCUUUGUACAAUCGUUUCCCGUCAAUUACUCGACAAUGGAGCACUCAGAGACACCCCGUAGAAUAGGAAAGCGAUAUCGUAAGAGAAUAGGAUUACCCGCAUGAAUGGGUUGAAGCGUGGCGGACAGCUACCGCUGCCGGGAUUGCGAUUCGAAGAUUUAAAGAGAGUUGUUUCAGGUCAUAGGGUUAAGUGAACUACCCGGUAUAAAGGGAGCAACGCGUAGGAGCCACCCUCUGUUGUCGCCGUGGCGGCACGGCACACACAGUUGUGGGAAUCCCCUAGCGUGAAACCGAAGAUCGGAAAGAGUGGGCGGGCACCCGUUCGCGAUCGUGCCGUUUGAUACCACGUGCUUCGCUGCGGUUUAAAGGCACAGGGGAACUCUGCGUCCUCUCAUUUUGAUAUCAAAGAGUUUCCCCUUUGCCGAGGAUCUCUAAAUCGAUGUUCUUUGACUUUACAAAGGUUUCGCCCGGUAACAUUCACUCUCUCUCUCUCUCCCCUCGUCCCUCUGUCGUCGUCCCCGCGGUCCGAUCCUCGUCUUCUGUUAUUCUUAACUCUUAUUUUUGUAUACUAGACUCUCCCUUGCGUGCGCUGAAAGUGACUGGUAAAAGCUUUCACUUUAUCGUCGAUAAUUGCAGAAGAGCGAGGGUCGUUGUUCAAAGAAGCUUGUUAGAUGCAAUAAACGAAAGGUCACGAAGACGCGGCGGCUCUCAUCAUUUUUUUUUUCAUAGCGCCGCCGCCGGUAGUUACGAUAUCAUUAACAUUUACUCUUUGCUCUCCGACGGAAAUUGUAAUCGCAUUAACGAUAGCGGUACGACUGUUCUUCCCGUUCGAUAGCCACUUUCCUGACGCCGGGGCGAACCGUGUAUCAACGUACCGACGUUUCACCCGGUAUGACGUAUGAAUUACGACGGCUUUUAACCCAUUUUUCUUACGGCCGAACCUACUUACGGGUAGCUCGCGGAAAAAUUUUAUUUCCCGCGCGCGCACCGGAGAGUCUCCGUUAAAUUGUUGCGGCACACGGAACGCAAAAUUUCGUGUCGAAUCAAAGCAAAUUGUGUAACUAUUAUUAGAACGCUCGGAGAAUGAGUGCGAUAGCGUUCGCAAGUAGCACGGCGACUAUACCUGACACGAUUCCGUGCGCACUUGUACGGGCUGCAUGUAAAAGCUGACGUAGCAUUACAAUUUAAAGAUCCAUGCAUAGCCGGGUGCAACUGCUUUGAAAAUGAGACGCACGAACAACAGACCGGUGAUCGAAGUCCGAUAGAGAUAAGAAAAUAAACGUAACGCUUGACACGAGUCUAUUCCCGGAAACGGCGUUAGGAACCAGCGCGGGGAAAGUCGGUGGAGAGAAGAAAAGAAAUCUGAAUUAUAGAGGCGAGACGUUGUUCCCUCGCGUGCAACAAUGGGAACGCGACGGACGAGAACGGUCGAGGGAAGAGAUGACAAUAUUAAAGAAAGCUUUAAAGAAACGUUCGCCGUAAAGGUUUAUUGGCGUGAAGGAGUUGCGGAGCGUGUCUACAUCAAAGGCGGCCGCUUCUGAACUCUAUUCCCUUUCUACUUGAAACCCCUUGCGCCGUCAUCUCGUCACCACCUCCGCUUCUAUCAACUACUACCGCUCGCCCGCUCGCCCGCUGCUGACGUCCAUUCGCUCCGGCAAGGCUGUGCACGCAACCGACAGACGCUUAGCCACGCUCACCCCCGAAUGUGUACCCUGGGCACACUUACCACGUGCGAGUUCCUGCGCCGGUGGUUAUUAACAUCCAUUACCAUGUCAAACGCGGACGCAUCGCGACGCACGAUCGAACCACCGAAUCGGUGUCCGAAAGGAAUGGUUAUUAUUUUUCCAUUUCCACCACCGCCGCUGUUAUUAAUUGCCUACCCCUUUGUCGGCCAGUUUUCAAACGAUGGAAAUACAAGCGAAUAACGGAGCUCGAGAUAAAGGAGAUCGCCAUGAAUACAUUUCGUUAAAGAAAUAGAUAUCGAAGAAAAGUCCAGGUCCUAUAGCCACUCUUCUAGAGAAAUUCAUUUCUCCGUUGUUAUCAUUGGACCGCGAAUUUUGCAAACUAAAACUCGUGGGAUACAACUAAUAAAACUGAACUAGUUUAGGCUUCUGUUAAUGCUUUGUGUUAAUAAUGAAAGGAAGUUUGUAACAAACACGUUUGACUUAAUUCAUUGACUGUCUGCGACAGUGCAUUAAAAUCGUAACGAGGCUUUGAUCUAAAUGGAUUCUCGUAUCGCGUAACAGGUAAACGCGAUUAAGAUAAUUGGUCUGGAGAUUGUGUAAUAAAUGUACCGACAAACGAAAUUCGAAAGCGAACAAAAAUGAGAAUCGGCCGAUAUACACGAGGAGCUCAAUGAACGAUGAAGCUUCACGUAUUUCACGUAAAUUAUCAAACGUUUCGUAUGAACAUUAGUAAAUGAGAUUGGCCAGAGUACGCGUCGCGAAACACCGGUACCGAAAUUAUUCCGGUGCUACGAUCGCGGUAAAAAACGGAGACUAAUUUAGUAAUGAAAUUCUCUGUUUUCCAUAUUAAACAAGGUUCAACGAUACGAUUGUCCGUAAAUUGAUUCUAGAAAUAAUAGUAGGUACCUUAACGAGUAAUUUAAGUAACGGUCUCCGAAAAACGAGGAAGAAAAAGUUGUUAUUCGAUUCUGAAAUCGAUGGUAUCGCGGAUCAAGCAGGAAGUAAUGGUGUCUUAAUUAUUCGCCGCAUUUAUUGUCGUCAAUUACGGAAAGAA
Long non-coding RNA from Ceratina calcarata, 3810 nucleotides. RefSeq lists it as uncharacterized. The record is from RefSeq and is a predicted model, not a curated record. Lineage: Eukaryota; Metazoa; Arthropoda; Insecta; Hymenoptera; Apidae. The transcript has 3 exons.